This 114-nucleotide ribosomal RNA is filed under the name Caerostris darwini. Lineage: Eukaryota; Metazoa; Arthropoda; Arachnida; Araneae; Araneidae. The record is from RNAcentral.
AACGGCCGUACCAUGCUGAAUAUACCGGUUCUCGUUAGAUCACCGAAGUUAAGCAUCAUUGGGCGCGGUCAGGUAUCUUGGGUGGGUGACCACCUGGGAACACUGCGUGCCGUU